UGGGCAGAAACCGAAAAGCCUUUUUUUAAAUAGAGUAGGUG
RNAcentral lists this non-coding RNA (41 nucleotides) under unclassified sequences. RNAcentral's name for it is "DUF805b RNA". It matches the Rfam family "DUF805b RNA". Rfam says of the family: Bacteroidetes, Chlorobi (1 example), Proteobacteria. Lineage (Flavobacteria) The record is from RNAcentral.